GAUGAAGAACGUAGCGAAAUGCGAUAAGUAAUGUGAAUUGCAGAAUUCAGUGAAUCAUCGAAUCUUUGGACGCACAUUGCGCCCAUUAGUAUUCUAGUGGGCAUGCCUGUUCGAGCGUCAUUAAGUCCACUUAAGCCCUGCUUAGUGUUGGGAGACUGCUCCAGCGGUGCUACCCUGUAGCUACCCUGCAGCUCCUCAAAGACAGCGGCGGAGUUGUGGUAUCCUCUGAGCUUAGUAACUUGUUCUAGCUUUCGAGUACACCACUUCCCCUGCCGUAAAACCCUUAAUUUUUAAUGGUUGACCUCGGAUCAGGUAGGAAUACCCGCUGAACUUAAGCAUAUCAAUAAGCGGAGGA
Molecule: unclassified non-coding RNA, 355 nt
Filed under: soil metagenome
Description: partial contains 5.8S ribosomal RNA, internal transcribed spacer 2, and large subunit ribosomal RNA
Rfam family: 5.8S ribosomal RNA (bases 1-120)
Source: RNAcentral